AAUCUUUAGUUUAUAUACUAUAUUGUAACUCUUAUGUUUCUAAGUUUUGUUACAUUCUAUUGAAACCCUAAAUUCAAUGGUCUUUCUCUAUGUUUCUACAUGUCCAAUCUUAUUAACAUGGUAUCAAAGAGCCUGGUUAAUUCAUUAGCAAUUUGUUGAAGAUAAAUUACAUGGUGUAUUGUUGGCUUUGGCUUGUUACGAUUUUGGAUAGUAGUGAAUUGUUAUUGUUAUUGGAUUGCAAACUUUGGUCAAAAGCACCGCUUCUAUCGAACGGCAAUUUUGAAGGAG
RNAcentral lists this long non-coding RNA (288 nucleotides) under Trifolium pratense (red clover). RNAcentral describes it as "long non-coding RNA (TPRA_LNC005268)". Lineage: Eukaryota; Viridiplantae; Streptophyta; Magnoliopsida; Fabales; Fabaceae. The record is from RNAcentral.